Molecule: ribosomal RNA, 511 nt
Filed under: uncultured bacterium
Lineage: Bacteria
Description: partial 16S ribosomal RNA
Rfam family: Bacterial small subunit ribosomal RNA
Source: RNAcentral
GACGAACGCUGGCGGCGUGCUUAACACAUGCAAGUCGAACGAAAAGAGGGAAAGAGCUUGCUCUUUCCGGAAUUGAGUGGCAAACGGGUGAGUAACACGUAAACAACCUGCCUUCAGGAUGGGGACAACAGACGGAAACGACUGCUAAUACCGAAUAAGUUCCAAGGGCCGCAUGGCCCAUGGAAGAAAAGGUGGCCUCUACCUGUAAGCUAUCGCCUGAAGAGGGGUUUGCGUCUGAUUAGCUGGUUGGAGGGGUAACGGCCCACCAAGGCGACGAUCAGUAGCCGGUCUGAGGGGAUGAACGGCCACACUGGAACUGAGACACGGUCCAGACUCCUACGGGAGGCAGCAGUGGGGAAUCUUCCGCAAUGGGCGAAAGCCUGACGGAGCAACGCCGCGUGAGUGAUGACGGCCUUCGGGUUGUAAAACUCUGUGAUCCGGGACGAAAAGGCAGAGUGCGAAGAACAAACUGCAUUGACGGUACCGGAAAAGCAAGCCACGGCUAACUACG